GGCAGCACGGGUGCUUGCACCUGGUGGCGAGUGGCUAAUUGGCGAGUAAUAUAUCGGAAAGUACCUUAUUGUGGGGGAUAACGCAGCGAAAGCUGUGCUAAUACCGCAUAAUCCCUAAGGGGGAAAGCAGGGGACCGUAAGGCCUUGCGCAAUUAGAGCGGCCGAUACCUGAUUAGCUAGUUGGUGAGGUAAAGGCUCACCAAGGCAACGAUCAGUAGCUGGUCUGAGAGGACGAUCAGCCACACUGGGACUGAGACACGGCCCAGACUCCUACGGGAGGCAGCAGUGG
Molecule: ribosomal RNA, 289 nt
Filed under: uncultured bacterium
Lineage: Bacteria
Description: partial 16S ribosomal RNA
Rfam family: Bacterial small subunit ribosomal RNA
Source: RNAcentral